RNAcentral lists this ribosomal RNA (775 nucleotides) under uncultured Neocallimastigales. RNAcentral describes it as "partial large subunit ribosomal RNA". It matches the Rfam family "Eukaryotic large subunit ribosomal RNA", at positions 26 to 644 of the family's 3401-position model. Lineage: Eukaryota; Fungi; Neocallimastigomycota; Neocallimastigomycetes; Neocallimastigales. The record is from RNAcentral.
CGCAUCUGUGCAUGCAGCAUAUCAAUAAGCGGAGGAAAAGAAACUAACAAGGAUUCCCUUAGUAACGGCGAGUGAAGCGGGAAGAGCUCAAAUUUGAAAUCUUCAAGGUUUUACCUUGACGAAUUGUAGUUUAAAGAAGUGUUUUCUGUUGAAGUUUUGGUAAAAGUUCUUUGGAAUAGGACAUCAUAGAGGGUGAGAAUCCCGUAUUUGACCAUUAUUUUCAGCUGUGUGAUACACUUUCAAAGAGUCGGAUUGUUUGGGAAUGCAGUCCAAAAUGGGUGGUAAAUUUCAUCUAAAGCUAAAUAUUGGCGAGAGACCGAUAGCGAACAAGUACCGUGAGGGAAAGAUGAAAAGAACUUUGAAAAGAGAGUUAAACAGUACGUGAAAUUGUCAAAAGGGAAGCGUUUGACACCAGUGUUGUUUUCUCGAAAAUCAAUUAAAAAGAGUUUAGAUUUUGUUGUGUAUUGACCUUAACAGCUUGCAUUUCAAUUUUCUUGCUUUUUUUAAUGCACUUUUCGUUUAACAAGUCAACAUCAGUUUCUUUUGUUGUAAAAAGGUCAUUGGAAGGUGGCUUUCUCUUCGGAGAAAGUGUUUAUAGCCUUUGACUCCUGCAAUCGGAGAGACUGAGGUCUGCAGCGUAGAUCCUUCGGGGUUAGAUACAUUUGUGCUAAGUUAUAGCUUUUUAUAGACAACUUGUUGACUAUGAUUAGUCUUGUAGCUUACUCGCUUAUGCUAUUUUACCUACGCUUAGGAUGUUGACACACGCGCGUGCUCG